GUGGAUUAGAUACCCUGGUAGUCCACGCCGUAAACGAUGAGUACUAGGUGUUGCGGGUAUUGACCCCUGCAGUGCCGCAGCUAACGCAUUAAGUACUCCGCCUGGGAAGUACGGUCGCAAGACUAAAACUCAAAGGAAUUGACGGGGGCCCGCACAAGCGGUGGAGCAUGUGGUUUAAUUCGACGCAACGCGAAGAACCUUACCUGGGCUUGACAUCCGUGGAACCUUGUGGAAACACAGGGGUGCCUUCGGGAGCCACGAGACAGGUGCUGCAUGGCUGUCGCCAACU
Molecule: ribosomal RNA, 289 nt
Filed under: uncultured bacterium
Lineage: Bacteria
Description: partial 16S ribosomal RNA
Rfam family: Bacterial small subunit ribosomal RNA
Source: RNAcentral